Molecule: long non-coding RNA, 2617 nt
Filed under: Olea europaea subsp. europaea
Lineage: Eukaryota; Viridiplantae; Streptophyta; Magnoliopsida; Lamiales; Oleaceae
Source: RNAcentral
UAAAAAAAAUUCUUCUUUUUUAACCAUACAUUUUCCCAAAAAAAUACUAUUUUAUAAUACAUUUUGCCAAAAUUUCUCUCUAUAAUAGGGCCCCGUUUGGGAGUGAUUUUCACCCCUAAAAAUUUGAUUUUUUGACCGUUAUUUCACUAUUUCAAUUUCAACUGUAAUUUUUGAUUUCUUCUCUCGCAGUUGGCUCCCACUUUUUUCCUAACAGUCAAAAAAUCAAUUUUCAAAAUCACCACCGAACAAACCCUAGAACUCAAACAAAGGCUUAAUAUUAUUCUCUUCUUAUUAUAGGAAUAUAUUUUUCAAUAUUAAAAACAUCUUCAAAGCCACUGAGAGAGUCAUAUUAAUUAAAUUUAAGUAAUACCAAAAACUCUCCCUUAUUUUAAGUUCAGAUAUCUCUUUUUUUUCGACAACCCUAGUUGACGUGAGAUGGAAACAUGAACAAUAAUAAAAGAAUCUUGUUUAUAAUACACGAAUGAAUGUUGAUUAAAUUUUGCUCAAACGGACGUGAAAAUUAUUGGAAUCUACUAAAUAACGAAAAAAAUUUGAAUUAUAAUUAAUCAAAAUGAAUGUAAUAUUUUCAAAACCUUAACACAUAUUUAAAUAUUCAAAACAAAUUCUUUUAAAAAUGAAAUUCUAAACCUGUGGAUAAAUUCAAAUAAAAAUAAAAAAAUUGCAAAAAUAAAGAUAAUACCCCUAAACUAUAUCAAAACUUCUAAAAUGCUAAAACGAACCCUAAAUGAAAAAAAUUUGGUCUCAAAAGUUUGACAAUGUUGGCCAAAGGACAUUGUCAUCCUAUUUUCAAAUUGUACUUGCUUGUGUAUUCCGAUAAUCGAGCAGAAAGUUAUGCAUAUUUUCAUAUAUCUUUAUUAUUCUUUUGCUUUUCUAAUUGAUUUAUAAUUUUCUCUUCCGAUUGAUUCGCAUCACUAGUCAAGCCCCCCUCUCCCCUCUUCCCAGCGAUAAUCGAGAAAUUUUAGAAAAUAAGAAGCAGAAGUUAUUUUAUACAAACUCAACAAUAACCUUAUAAUAUUCUUUUACUUUCGACUCUCUUCUUUUCUCUUUUAUUGUGUCUUUGUGUUCCUUCAUUACCAGAUCAACUUCCCUUUCGAAAGAAACAUGUAAUGCAUGUAAAUACUUGAUUUUUUCCCCUUGUUUUGAUAUUACAAAUUUUGUAGUAUCAUCAAAUAAACCUAUAAUAUUUACAAAAUUGAACAUUCAUAGACUUUCACUGUUUUUUGUGGGUCAACAAACAUGUUUGCAUGCCCACUAGCAACGUGGGUCACAUGACACUUCUUAGUUGUGUACCAUGUAUAUAACGCAUUUAACAAUUCCGUGCCCAACUUGGCCAUAGGACACUUGAUUAAGGUUGUACGCGUAUCUUUCCUUCAAUUUUCAAAAAAAAUUCAACGACUGAUUAAAUCGGGCCUUCAAAUAGUCUUCCCUGACCAUGUACUGCCUAAAGACCAAUGUCAAUUUCACAAUAAUUUUUGGUUAUUUAGAGCCUGUUUGGUUUAGAUUAUAAGCCAAUUAUAAUUAAUUUUUUGAUCGUUAUUUUACCAUUCUAGCAGUCAUUUUUGAAUUCUCCUCUCAUAGAUAGGACCCACUUUAUCUCUAACGGUCAAACUAUCAAUUAUCAUAAUUCCUAUCAAACAAACACUUAAGCUCAACACUGUAACUAGGCUUGGUUAAAGAAAAAUCCGUGUUUUGUUUGAAUCGCCUACUCGGAUGCUUUGCUUAGGACGCAAUUUACAUUACACGUUAAGUCAAAAGUUUUUCCUUAUUUGUUAACCACACAUUUUCUAUCAAAAUACUAUUUCAAAAUGUAUUUUGAGCAAAAAAUGGAGCUCAAAUAGGCUCUUAAGUAACGUGCCUAAUCAAUUUUUCUAGAGUAAUGUUAUGUAGUUCAAUUAGCAAUUUAUCAAUAGUCUAUGUAGACACGGUAGAUUUAAUUGAGUAUGAUCUCAUAAAAUUACAUUUUAUUGAACUUAUGAUUUAUGUUACAUACAAAGAUUAGUGUAAUUGUUUGGUAAUCUUUUUUUUUUUUUUUUGGGUGGAGACUCGAAGGAGAACAGUAUUCUUAAGUGAACAAGGAGGGAAAGGGUGAUGGUGACGUGAAUUUGGAUGGUGUGGAGUCGGCAGAGAACAUAUUCUGAUUUGAGCUUCUGAGAAAUUUCUAUCUUCUCAAUGUGGACUUGAGCAGGGGCGGACCCAGACCGUUCGAAUUAUGGGGUCAAAAUUUUUUUGUUUUUCGAACAACAUAUUAUGAACAAAAAUGAAAAAUAGGUUGUUUGUUGUUCAUGUUCGAUAUUUGCACUUUGGGAAAAAAUCGGUGGAUUAUAUGAUAUAUCUAUGGACUAAAUAAUGGAUAUGGACCAUGUGAUAUGGAUAUAGAUUUAGGAUUUGGACUUUUUGGGGUAAAAAAUUAAGUUUACAACAAAAAAAAAAAAAAAAAAAUUCCAGAAAACUGUGGGGUCUUUUGUCCCCACAUGACCCCAUGUGGGUCCGCCCCUGGACUUGAGUCACAAUUAUUAUAAUUUGUGUUACUUUUACAUUUUUAUGACGUGGGGAAUAAUUAUGAAUUAAUGUCACAAAGUUACAUGUUAUUUUGCUG